RNAcentral lists this ribosomal RNA (301 nucleotides) under uncultured bacterium. Its description in RNAcentral is "partial 16S ribosomal RNA". It matches the Rfam family "Bacterial small subunit ribosomal RNA", at positions 509 to 807 of the family's 1533-position model. The record is from RNAcentral.
CAGCAGCCGCGGUAAUACGAGGGGAGCUAGCGUUGUUCGGAAUUACUGGGCGUAAAGCGCGCGUAGGCGGCUUUUUAAGUCAGAGGUGAAAGCCCGGGGCUCAACCCCGGAAUUGCCUUUGAAACUGGAAAGCUAGAAUCUUGGAGAGGUCAGUGGAAUUCCGAGUGUAGAGGUGAAAUUCGUAGAUAUUCGGAAGAACACCAGUGGCGAAGGCGACUGACUGGACAAGUAUUGACGCUGAGGUGCGAAAGCGUGGGGAGCAAACAGGAUUAGAUACCCCUGUAGUCCCUGUCUCUUAUAC